This 552-nucleotide ribosomal RNA is filed under the name Scheffersomyces stipitis. RNAcentral describes it as "eukaryotic LSU rRNA". It matches the Rfam family "Eukaryotic large subunit ribosomal RNA", at positions 40 to 600 of the family's 3401-position model. Lineage: Eukaryota; Fungi; Ascomycota; Pichiomycetes; Serinales; Debaryomycetaceae. The record is from RNAcentral.
AUAUCAAUAAGCGGAGGAAAAGAAACCAACAGGGAUUGCCUUAGUAACGGCGAGUGAAGCGGCAAAAGCUCAAAUUUGAAAUCUGGCACCUUCGGUGUCCGAGUUGUAAUUUGAAGAAGGUAAUUUGGAGUCAGCUCUUGUCUAUGUUCCUUGGAACAGGACGUCACAGAGGGUGAGAAUCCCGUGCGAUGAGAUGUCUGAUUCUAUGUAAAGUGCUUUCGAAGAGUCGAGUUGUUUGGGAAUGCAGCUCUAAGUGGGUGGUAAAUUCCAUCUAAAGCUAAAUAUUGGCGAGAGACCGAUAGCGAACAAGUACAGUGAUGGAAAGAUGAAAAGAACUUUGAAAAGAGAGUGAAAAAGUACGUGAAAUUGUUGAAAGGGAAGGGUUUGAGAUCAGACUUGGUAUUUUGUAUGUCUUGCUUUCGGGUGGGGCCUCUACAGUUUACUGGGCCAGCAUCGGUUUGGACGGUAGGAUAAUGACAUUGGAAUGUGGCACCACUUCGGUGGUGUGUUAUAGACUUUGUUGAUACUGCCUGUCUAGACCGAGGACUGCGU